Molecule: RNA transcript, 524 nt
Organism: Magallana angulata
Lineage: Eukaryota; Metazoa; Mollusca; Bivalvia; Ostreida; Ostreidae
Exons: 5
Source: RefSeq, a predicted model, not a curated record
CCUCCAACUCUUUAUAUUUGUUGUCAACUGUCCCCCCUCCCCCAUUAUUCGUGUUCAUUAUAUUUUUUUAACCAAUCAUUUUCACGACAAUAUUUUCGUAUUCAAGAAAAACGAAUAUAUAACAAAUUGGAGAAAAUUGUAAAUAUUCACCUUGUUUUCCCCCGAAUUUUUGACAUCAUUUUUGGAUUUGUACCUUGCGGAAUUUCAUCAUUAAAAACAAUGGCCAGGUCAGUAAUUUAUCUUUUUACUUAAGACGACAAUAUUAGCCUUCCUGUUUUACAAUAAUUAAAAUUAGUUUAAUUCGAAUAUUUUAGCAACUGCAUUUGCAACCAAAAAAUUCUACUCGUUGAAUUGCUGGAGAGAGCACUAACGCUCGUGGACGAAUGUCCAUGCUCACACAGUAGAAGAUGGGCAAACGCCUCCACCCCUGUAAUAGCUACACCCGUGAAUGGCGGCAAGGGAUUAAAAGAAACCCCAAUGGCGCCAAAAAGAAAUUGUCUACCGAGACGACUCUUGACGGGGGG